ACGGAAGCUUGGCGAGGCCAAGACCCAGCCGGAAGAGAAGGCUAGAUCUCCCGACCCAAGCUCCUAGCACGGAUACCGAGCACCCACGCGGAGCACAUGCCGCGGAAUAGGCAAAAGUGUUGCGGACCUGCGUAGUUUCGAAAAGCGGACGGCCACGACGGCCCUUUGGGUGGGGUUGCAGCCGUAGCGCAUCGCAAAGACGCCGAGGUCACCCACGCAACCCACAUCGCACGCUUGGUCACUCGGGGUCCGUGCUAGCGGGCGGCGAACCGGACAUUGUCCGGGACGCCGCCCGAUUUCUUUU
RNAcentral lists this non-coding RNA (304 nucleotides) under Mycolicibacterium smegmatis MC2 155. RNAcentral's name for it is "Mycobacterium smegmatis str. MC2 155 Mycobacterium smegmatis small RNA 1". It matches the Rfam family "Mycobacterium smegmatis small RNA 1". From Rfam's summary of the family: Mycobacterium smegmatis small RNA 1 is highly expressed during stationary phase of growth. Ms1 RNA directly interacts with RNA polymerase (RNAP), but in a different way than 6S, which is present in other bacteria. Lineage: Bacteria; Bacillati; Actinomycetota; Actinomycetes; Mycobacteriales; Mycobacteriaceae. The record is from Rfam by way of RNAcentral.